This 216-nucleotide ribosomal RNA is filed under the name Campeiostachys nutans. RNAcentral's name for it is "Elymus nutans partial small subunit ribosomal RNA". It matches the Rfam family "Eukaryotic small subunit ribosomal RNA", at positions 662 to 864 of the family's 1831-position model. Lineage: Eukaryota; Viridiplantae; Streptophyta; Magnoliopsida; Poales; Poaceae. The record is from RNAcentral.
GGGUUAGUAGGUUGGUCAUGCCUCUGGUAUGUACUGGUCUCACUGAUUCCUCAUUCAUGAUGAACCUUAAUGCAAUUAAUUUGGUGUUUUGGGGAAUUUGGACUGUUACUUUGAAAAAAUUAGAGUGUUUAAAGCAAGCUAACGCUUGAAUACAUUAGCAUGGAAUAAUGAAAUAGGAAGUUCGAUCCUAUUUUGUUGGUUUCUAGGAUUGACGUA